RNAcentral lists this ribosomal RNA (421 nucleotides) under uncultured bacterium. RNAcentral's name for it is "bacterial SSU rRNA". The stretch from base 1 to 324 matches the Rfam family "Bacterial small subunit ribosomal RNA", at positions 54 to 399 of the family's 1533-position model. The record is from RNAcentral.
CGGGCGGGGCGGUGCGAGUGGAACGAAGGCUUCUGCCUUAGUGGCGCACGGGUGCGUAGCCCAUGGGAAUCUGCCCCUUGGUGCAGAAUAGCAGUUAGGAAUGACUGCCGAUACCGGAUGAUGACUUCGGUCCAAAUAUUUAUCGCCGAGGGAUGAGCCCGCGUAUGAGUAUGUAGUUGGUGGGGUAAAGGCCUACCAAGGCGGGCAUCGAUGACUGGUCUGAGACCCCGAUCUUGCACUGGGGGAGUGAGGCCGGCCCAUACUCCUACGGGAAGCAGCCGUGGGCAAUAUUGGAUGUGGGCGAAACCCGGAUCGGCAAUGCCGGUCACUGAUGACCCCUUACGGAUGUAAAGCUCUUUUGGGGGUUGAAAUUACAGUACCGGGGAAUAACCCGGGGCUAUCUCGGCUGGAUGUCCGGGGU